Molecule: ribosomal RNA, 864 nt
Filed under: Geomyces sp.
Lineage: Eukaryota; Fungi; Ascomycota; Leotiomycetes; Thelebolales; Pseudeurotiaceae
Description: LSU rRNA
Rfam family: Eukaryotic large subunit ribosomal RNA
Source: RNAcentral
UUACCUCAGUAACGGCGAGUGAAGCGGUAACAGCUCAAAUUUGAAAUCUGGCCUCACGGUCCGAGUUGUAAUUUGUAGAGGAUGCUUCGAGCAUGGUCUGGCCUAAGUUCCUUGGAACAGGACGUCAUAGAGGGUGAGAAUCCCGUAUGCGGUCAGGUGCCUACGCUCAUGUGAAGCUCCUUCGACGAGUCGAGUUGUUUGGGAAUGCAGCUCAAAAUGGGUGGUAAAUUUCAUCUAAAGCUAAAUAUUGGCCAGAGACCGAUAGCGCACAAGUAGAGUGAUCGAAAGAUGAAAAGCACUUUGGAAAGAGAGUUAAACAGUACGUGAAAUUGUUGAAAGGGAAGCGCUUGCAACCAGACUUGCGCGCGGCCGAUCAUCCGGUGUUCUCACCGGUGCACUCGGCCGUGCUCAGGCCAGCAUCGGUUUUGGCGGCUGGAUAAAGGCCCUAGGAAUGUAGCUCCUCUCGGGGAGUGUUAUAGCCUAGGGUGCAAUGCAGCCUGCUGGGACCGAGGACCGCGCUUCGGCUAGGAUGCUGGCGUAAUGGUUGUAAGCGGCCCGUCUUGAAACACGGACCAAGGAGUCUAACAUCUAUGCGAGUGUUUGGGUGUCAAACCCAUACGCGUAAUGAAAGUGAACGGAGGUGAGAACCCUUAAGGGUGCAUCAUCGACCGAUCCUGAUGUCUUCGGAAGGAUUUGAGUAAGAGCAUAGCUGUUGGGACCCGAAAGAUGGUGAACUAUGCCUGAAUAGGGUGAAGCCAGAGGAAACUCUGGUGGAGGCUCGCAGCGGUUCUGACGUGCAAAUCGAUCGUCAAAUUUGGGUAUAGGGGCGAAAGACUAAUCGAACCAUCUAGUAGCUGGUUCCUG